RNAcentral lists this ribosomal RNA (232 nucleotides) under uncultured bacterium. Its description in RNAcentral is "partial 16S ribosomal RNA". It matches the Rfam family "Bacterial small subunit ribosomal RNA", at positions 118 to 347 of the family's 1533-position model. The record is from RNAcentral.
UGGGUGACCUGCCCUUCACUCUGGGAUAAGCCUGGGAAACUGGGUCUAAUACCGGAUAUGACUCCUCAUCGCAUGGUGGGGGUGGAAAGCUUUAUUGUGGUUUUGGAUGGACUCGCGGCCUAUCAGCUUGUUGGUGAGGUAAUGGCUCACCAAGGCGACGACGGGUAGCCGGCCUGAGAGGGCGACCGGCCACACUGGGACUGAGACACGGCCCAGACUCCUACGGGAGCAG